UUGAACGCUGGCGGGAUGCUUUACACAUGCAAGUCGAACGGCAGCACGGGGGCAACCCUGGUGGCGAGUGGCGAACGGGUGAGUAAUGUAUCGGAACGUACCCAGUCGUGGGGGAUAACUAUCCGAAAGGAUAGCUAAUACCGCAUACGUCCUGAGGGAGAAAGCGGGGGAUCGCAAGACCUCGCGCGAUUGGAGCGGCCGAUAUCGGAUUAGCUAGUUGGUGAGGUAAAGGCUCACCAAGGCGACGAUCCGUAGCGGGUCUGAGAGGACGACCCGCCACACUGGAACUGAGACACGGUCCAGACUCCUACGGGAGGCAGCAGUGGGGAAUUUUGGACAAUGGGCGCAAGCCUGAUCCAGCCAUGCCGCGUGCGGGAAGAAGGCCUUCGGGUUGUAAACCGCUUUUGUCAGGGAAGAAACGGUCUGGGCUAAUACCCUGGGCUAAUGACGGUACCUGAAGAAUAAGCACCGGCUAACUACGU
RNAcentral lists this ribosomal RNA (482 nucleotides) under uncultured bacterium. RNAcentral's name for it is "bacterial SSU rRNA". It matches the Rfam family "Bacterial small subunit ribosomal RNA", at positions 29 to 506 of the family's 1533-position model. The record is from RNAcentral.